RNAcentral lists this long non-coding RNA (751 nucleotides) under Coffea arabica (coffee). Its description in RNAcentral is "long non-coding RNA (CARA_LNC002574)". The record is from RNAcentral. Lineage: Eukaryota; Viridiplantae; Streptophyta; Magnoliopsida; Gentianales; Rubiaceae.
AAAAGGUGUUGGAAAUUUGUAGAAAUUAGGCCUCAAGAAUUCUGGAAAAAUGGUAUGCAACAAAGCUGAAAAUUUGCAGAUUUACUUGAGCAAGAUGAACUCUAAUGGAACUCGACAAAUCCCUAUGCAAUUAGCUCAAAAUCCGACCAGAAUUUUGAUGUUAAUGGUGCAGAUUUGGACUAGAAAUUGGACACACUUGACACGAUAUAUUGCUUGAAAAUUACACUACGAAACCUGUUUACUUGGACAAAACUGACGCAAGAAUCUAGAAACUAUUGGGCUUGAACAAGGAAACUAUGACGCUUUGUAAUCCAAAAUUGUUUUGGACAUGUUUUGGACCACCAAACUCGAUUAAAACUGGAAAAUAAAGACUUAAGACAGAUUAUAUAUGGCUGCAAAAACCAGUUUUAAAGCUGGAACAAAGACACAAGAAUCGGCUGAAAUUUUUAUGGAACUUAGAAUAAACACUCUACCCGAUGUAUGUGUUGCUGGAAACUUGAAAGCUAAGUUCGAUUGCUCUUUGGCUUCAAUCCUAAGAGGCAAGGUGUUCAGAUUUUGCAGCUGGAAACAAGUAUCCAAUCCCAACAAAGCUUUGACGUCCAGAAUUUGGAAACAAAAAGUCCAAGUUGCUUUCGGUUGACAAAUCAAAUUUGGCUACUUAUUUGUAACUCAAUGCUAAUGAUCCGAUUGUGAUUCUUCUUCUCGUUUUUUUUUCUUUUUUUUGCUCAAAUUCUUUUUAUUUCUUUUCUUU